GAUGAACGCUGGCGGCGUGCCUAAUACAUGCAAGUCGAGCGCGAGAGUGAGGAGCUUGCUCCUCAUGAUCAAGCGGCGGACGGGUGAGUAACACGUAGGCAACCUACCCUCGAGAUUGGGAUAACUACCGGAAACGGUAGCUAAUACCGGAUACGACUUUUCCACAUAAGUGGAAUGGUUAAAAGGCGGAUUUAUCUGCCGCUCAUGGAUGGGCCUGCGGUGCAUUAGCUAGUUGGUGAGGUAGUGGCUCACCAAGGCGACGAUGCAUAGCCGACCCGAGAGGGUGAUCGGCCACACUGGGACUGAGACACGGCCCAGACUCCUACGGGAGGCAGCAGUAGGGAAUCUUCCGCAAUGGACGCAAGUCUGACGGAGCAACGCCGCGUGAGUGAUGAAGGGUUUCGGCUCGUAAAACUCUGUUGUUAAGGAAGAACACUUGAGGUAGUAACUGGCCUUGAGAUGACGGUACUUAACCAGAAAGCCACGGCUAACUACGUGCCAGCAGCCGCGGUAA
Molecule: ribosomal RNA, 514 nt
Filed under: uncultured bacterium
Lineage: Bacteria
Description: partial 16S ribosomal RNA
Rfam family: Bacterial small subunit ribosomal RNA
Source: RNAcentral